RNAcentral lists this ribosomal RNA (260 nucleotides) under uncultured archaeon. RNAcentral describes it as "partial 16S ribosomal RNA". It matches the Rfam family "Archaeal small subunit ribosomal RNA", at positions 748 to 1008 of the family's 1478-position model. The record is from RNAcentral.
CAGCCGUAAACUAUGCGCGUUAGGUGUAUCGGUGACCACGAGUUACCGAGGUGCCGAAGGGAAACCGUGAAACGUGCCGCCUGGGAAGUACGGUCGCAAGGCUGAAACUUAAGGAAUUGGCGGGGGAGCACCACAACAGGUGGAGCCUGCGGUUUAAUUGGACUCAACGCCGGGAAGCUCACCGGAUAGGACAGCAGAAUGACUGCCGGGCUGAAGACCCUGCAUGACUAGCUGAGAGGAGGUGCAUGGCGUCAGUGACU